UGACGAGGAUGAGAACCUCCGGGGGCAAGAGGUUCGACCCGAGCGAAGCGAGAGAACGUUGCGUCAGCAACGGCCCGCAGGGCGAGCCACGCAGUGGCGAGUCAUCCUCUAUCACCGACC
This 120-nucleotide small RNA is filed under the name Salmonella enterica. RNAcentral describes it as "RtT RNA". The stretch from base 5 to 109 matches the Rfam family "RtT RNA", at positions 18 to 118 of the family's 130-position model. Rfam says of the family: This family represents a bacterial cis-regulatory element known as RtT RNA. Lineage: Bacteria; Pseudomonadati; Pseudomonadota; Gammaproteobacteria; Enterobacterales; Enterobacteriaceae. The record is from RNAcentral.